GCCCGGGUGGUGAAAUUGGUAGACACAAGGGACUUAAAAUCCCUCGGAGGCAACUCCGUGCCGGUUCGAGUCCGGCCUCGGGCACCA
RNAcentral lists this transfer RNA (87 nucleotides) under Gammaproteobacteria bacterium. Its description in RNAcentral is "tRNA-Leu". It matches the Rfam family "tRNA". Rfam says of the family: Transfer RNA (tRNA) molecules are approximately 80 nucleotides in length. Their secondary structure includes four short double-helical elements and three loops (D, anti-codon, and T loops). RNAcentral also lists the same sequence under 1 other name. The record is from RNAcentral. Lineage: Bacteria; Pseudomonadati; Pseudomonadota; Gammaproteobacteria.